Molecule: ribosomal RNA, 497 nt
Filed under: uncultured bacterium
Lineage: Bacteria
Description: partial 16S ribosomal RNA
Rfam family: Bacterial small subunit ribosomal RNA
Source: RNAcentral
GACGAACGCUGGCGGCGUGCCUAAUACAUGCAAGUAGAACGCUGAAGAGAGGAGCUUGCUCUUCUUGGAUGAGUUGCGAACGGGUGAGUAACGCGUAGGUAACCUGCCUGGUAGCGGGGGAUAACUAUUGGAAACGAUAGCUAAUACCGCAUAAAAUUGAUUAUUGCAUGAUAAUUAAUUGAAAGAUGCAAUUGCAUCACUACCAGAUGGACCUGCGUUGUAUUAGCUAGUUGGUGAGGUAACGGCUCACCAAGGCGACGAUACAUAGCCGACCUGAGAGGGUGAUCGGCCACACUGGGACUGAGACACGGCCCAGACUCCUACGGGAGGCAGCAGUAGGGAAUCUUCGGCAAUGGGGGGAACCCUGACCGAGCAACGCCGCGUGAGUGAAGAAGGUUUUCGGAUCGUAAAGCUCUGUUGUAAGAGAAGAACGGGUGUGAGAGUGGAAAGUUCACACUGUGACGGUAUCUUACCAGAAAGGGACGGCUAACUACGUG